Homo sapiens (human) is the source of this 1880-nucleotide long non-coding RNA. RefSeq lists it as uncharacterized. The transcript has 3 exons. The record is from RefSeq and is a predicted model, not a curated record. Lineage: Eukaryota; Metazoa; Chordata; Mammalia; Primates; Hominidae.
ACUCAGCCCACCUGCACCCAGGUGAUUAAAAAGCUUUAUUGCUCACACAAAGCCUGUUUGGUGGUCUCUUCACAUGGACGCGCGUGACAUUUGGUGCCCUGACUUGGAUCAGGGGACCUCCCUUGGGAGAUCAAUCCCCUGUCCUCCUGCUCUUUGCUCCGUGAGAAAGAUCCACCUACGACCUCUGGUCCUCAGACCAACCAGCCCAAGGAACAUCUCACCAAUUUUUAAUCAGGAAUAUUCUGUGAAAAAGACUAAGAUAUCAGAGAAAUUAUUAGUGCACAUUAUUAGAAGAGAGCUUCAGAUGAAAAUAAAGGGAAUGAGGAUGCUACUGACAUCUAGUAGGCAGAGGUCAGGGAUGCUGGCAAACUUCCUACAAUGCACAGGACUGCCUGGAAUAAUAAAGAAGGAUACAGCCCUAAAUUGUCAACAAUGCACAUCUUGAGAAAAAUGUUCCAAAGUAAAAGCUGAGUGAUUGUUCAUCAGCUAAAUAAAUGGUAAGUCUUGUUAUAAGUAGGAGGAACAAUGGGACAUGGUUUUUCUACAAUGGAUGAAUUGAAAAGAUUAUCAUAUGUUGUAACAUUUUUCUAUUUGUAGGGAAUACAUUCACUACAUUCACAUGGUCCAAGAUUCAAAAGAUACUCAAGAAGUUGUAGUCCAAGUCUCCCUCCCACCCCAUCCCUGUUUCACCCAAGUUCCCUCCCUGGAGGAAACUGUUAGUAAUCUCUUAUUUAGUUACCUAAAAGUUCUCUAGGCCUCUGUAAGAAAUUAUAUACAUGCACAGAAACAUACUAUACAUAUUCUUUGCAUUGUGCUUUUGUUACAAUUCAUUUUGGAGAUUGUUUUCUAUCAUGAUACAAAGCGUUUCCCCAUUAUUUCUUUUUAAGAUAGCAAAGUAUUUCAUUGUAGGUUGUAUGCAAGUUUUCUAUUUUAUGUAACCAUUCCCCUCUCUAUGGAUAUUUAGAUUAUUUCCUUUUUUUCUGUUACAGACACUGAUCAAUGAAUAUCUUUAUCUGUGAGUUUAAGUCCUACAAACAGAAUUGCCAAAUAAGCACAUUUGUGCUUGUAAUUUUUAUCAGAUGUUGUCCAAAUUACCCUCCAUUCUCCAUUAAAUUGAAUAUGUUUCCAUUCACACUGGCAAUACAUAUAUAAAGGAGUUUGGAUAACUUUAUAAUUUUAAAAGUUUUUCUCAUUCUUUUCAUCAAAACCUGAGAAUAAAUAAGAGGUGGACACACAAUAUAAUAUUUUCUGUCUAAAAUGUUCUCAGCACUCAGGUAUCCAGAAUCUAUUCAUGGGAGAUAUUUUUUUUCUAAUCUGUUUUUAGUGCGCUAAAAUAUAUAACAUAAACUUUACCAUUUUCACAAUUAUUGUGUACAAUUCAUUGGCAUUAAGUACUUUUAUAAUGUUAUGCAAAUAUCAUUAUUGGCUAUUUCUAAAUUAUUUCAUCACAACAAAAAGAAACUAAUCUGUGAAAGCUGAAAGAAUUUGGUCAUUCUUGUCAUACCCAGCUAAAACAGAGUUCAGAGCCAGAAAGAAAAAAGCACCCAGGGCACAUAACAUUUCUUCAAGAAUGUUAUUCUCUGCAAGCGUGGCUGCUGAAACUGCCUGCUCCAACCUGAAACCAGUUUUAUUCAAUAUCUACUGAAACAGGCUGCUGUGACUCUAAGAAUAGUUUUACCCACACCCAUCACUUAUUUAGAGCUUACCAGCUCCCCAAAACUAGUGCCAAUGAAUUUUCCUGAAGAACAAUACAUAACAUUUCUUCUUUUUAUAAAACCGCCAACCUUCUCUUUGUUCUUUAGACAUAGCAAAGACCACCCUGUCUGUGUGUAUGCCCUGAAAUGAAAUUCUUGCUUCUCAAAUAAAACGUUUUAUAUUUA